AUAAGAUGACAGCCUCACUAGAUAUCUUGGGAGAUGGUAGACGGACUGGGUUUAUAGGGAACCCUACCGUGAACGUUGUCUCAUACUGGACGGAGUAUGGAGAUUUUAUUAUUUUGGCGCUCAUACCGGACGGGGUAUGGGGACGGCCCUAGAAUUAAGUUUGUUAAGAGGAAUGAUUCACGUGUAGCGGGGACCCCUAUGGAUCCCCAUAGAUACUGGUAGGCUGAUAAAAAGGGGCAAUUAUUAUUUGAUGAUUUGAAUAUACAAGUAUGAUAUGUGCUAUGUUACAGA
This 291-nucleotide long non-coding RNA is filed under the name Carica papaya (papaya). Its description in RNAcentral is "long non-coding RNA (CPAP_LNC000945)". Lineage: Eukaryota; Viridiplantae; Streptophyta; Magnoliopsida; Brassicales; Caricaceae. The record is from RNAcentral.